GACGAACGCUGGCGGCGUGCCUAAUACAUGCAAGUUGAGCGCUGAAGGUUGGUACUUGUACCAACUGGAUGAGCAGCGAACGGGUGAGUAACGCGUGGGGAAUCUGCCUUUGAGCGGGGGACAACAUUUGGAAACGAAUGCUAAUACCGCAUAAAAACUUUAAACACAAGUUUUAAGUUUGAAAGAUGCAAUUGCAUCACUCAAAGAUGAUCCCGCGUUGUAUUAGCUAGUUGGUGAGGUAAAGGCUCACCAAGGCGAUGAUACAUAGCCGACCUGAGAGGGUGAUCGGCCACAUUGGGACUGAGACACGGCCCAAACUCCUACGGGAGGCAGCAGUAGGGAAUCUUCGGCAAUGGACGAAAGUCUGACCGAGCAACGCCGCGGGAGUGAAGAAGGUUUUCGGAUCGUAAAACUCUGUUGGUAGAGAAGAACGUUGGUGAGAGUGGAAAGCUCACCAAGUGACGGUAACUACCCAGAAAGGGACGGCUAACUACGUG
Molecule: ribosomal RNA, 497 nt
Filed under: uncultured bacterium
Lineage: Bacteria
Description: partial 16S ribosomal RNA
Rfam family: Bacterial small subunit ribosomal RNA
Source: RNAcentral